Gymnodraco acuticeps is the source of this 966-nucleotide long non-coding RNA. RefSeq lists it as uncharacterized. The transcript is spliced from 4 exons. NCBI's taxonomy places the organism in Eukaryota, Metazoa, Chordata, Actinopteri, Perciformes, Bathydraconidae. The record is from RefSeq and is a predicted model, not a curated record.
CAAAAAAGUAAUAGAGAUUGUUGUCCAGAAGGAUAGCAUGGACUUCAUCUUCAAGUCAAGCUCCCUGGUGCCAGAGGACACGAUGAAGAUGGAUCUCGGCAUAAGAUAAGCCUCUGAAGGCCACCUCCUCUGCGUUCUCGCCUGUCAUUAUAGAAGAGGCUUUCUCCCACAGGCCGGUCAGCUUAAGGUGCGGUGACUUCCUGUGACUUCGCUCCUGGUUUCCUGGCAACCUCACUGUGACGAGGAACCUUGAGCCUUAAGGAAGUUGUUUAGCCAACUAACAUUCUGCUGGCCUUAUGUUUAAAGCAAAUAUAUCUAUUACAAGGCAUUACUGAUUCCGGAGCUAUGCGAGUGGGCGUGACAGGCACCUGGCAUCAAUGUCCCAACACUGUACUGGAAUGAUAUCACACAAAUGGGCGGGCUGAUUGGGCCCCUGAAGGGUGAAUCCCGGAGAAGGCCACAGCGAGGUCACCAUGACAGCACUAUGCAAAUACAGGAGACAAAGUUUCACCGUGGAAUUGCAAUCAGCCAGCCUGUGUUGAUUAAAGUGACAUAUUUGUUUUUGUAUGGGGAUUCCAGCAAAUGAAAUGGCCUCAUUAAACGGAGGUCUGUGUAGAGCUAUCAGGGGAGAGGGAGUGAUGGGGAAAAGAGACAGAGAGAGAGAACAUUCCGUGUUCUUUAAUGAAACAUCUCAGCAUAACACAGAAAUGGUUUGAGUGGCAGGCUGCUUGUCAAUUCAAAUGUUCAGACAAUUCCACUGGUGUGAAUGAAUGGGAGCCAAUUUCCGCUUCAAAUAUACUGUUAUGCUAUUAUAUAUUUUUCUUAUUGUCAACCGAUACAAUCAAAUCAAUCCAAAAUGAAGAUAUUUAACUAACUACUAAUGUGUGUAUCUUAUUCCUCUGUAAUAUGCAAUAGAGCUCCGUUGUUCAGCAGCCAAAAACUAUUAAAACCACAUUGAUGAGCCUC